CGCGUGGGAAUCUGCCCUUGGGUUCGGAAUAACAGUUGGAAACGACUGCUAAUACCGGAUGAUGUCGCGAGACCAAAGAUUUAUCGCCCAGGGAUGAGCCCGCGUCGGAUUAGGUAGUUGGUGGGGUAAAGGCCUACCAAGCCGACGAUCCGUAGCUGGUCUGAGAGGAUGAUCAGCCACACUGGGACUGAGACACGGCCCAGACUCCUACGGGAGGCAGCAGUGGGGAAUAUUGGACAAUGGGCGAAAGCCUGAUCCAGCAAUGCCGCGUGAGUGAUGAAGGCCUUAGGGUUGUAAAGCUCUUUUACCCGGGAUGAUAAUGACAGUACCGGGAGAAUAAGCUCCGGCUAACUCCGUGCCAGCAGCCGCGGUAAUACGGAGGGAGCUAGCGUUGUUCGGAAUUACUGGGCGUAAAGCGCACGUANGCNGCUUUGUAAGUCAGGGUGAAAGCCGGAGCU
This 458-nucleotide ribosomal RNA is filed under the name uncultured bacterium. RNAcentral describes it as "bacterial SSU rRNA". It matches the Rfam family "Bacterial small subunit ribosomal RNA", at positions 114 to 609 of the family's 1533-position model. The record is from RNAcentral.